Molecule: long non-coding RNA, 1515 nt
Organism: Clupea harengus (Atlantic herring)
Lineage: Eukaryota; Metazoa; Chordata; Actinopteri; Clupeiformes; Clupeidae
Source: Ensembl
GGUAGACUGAGGAUCGGGCUGGGAAACUCUGAUUGCUGCCGGUCCAGGCGUAGGCCUGCUGAGUGCUGUGUGGUUCUCUCUCUCACACAGAGAAAAGUGGAUGUCUUUGCAACACGGACUGCAGAGAUAACCGGCCACAGCCGCUAUGCCCAGAUAUGUCUGAGCAUACCUGGAACAAGUUAUGUUUUUAGGGGGAAAAAAGAACAGGAGGGAAUCAGUUAUUCUGUGGCUCCGGAGCAUAUAGCGGUAUGGGAGAGAGGCCGGUGAGUAGACCUGUUACCAACAUGAAGAUCCAGAGGUGGGGGCAGUAAGGAGAGUUUCAUGAGAAUGAACCGCGCUGGACUGAGUCCCCUGUCUGCACUGCACUUCAGGUCAUCAACUCAAUACCCAGGGGCAACUGCUGAACCCCCAUUUGAAAUUUUCUUAAGGUGUGCGAUAAAGAGACAUACUAGGACAUGCGGUUGCUAAGACUCACAACCACCCUCACCACCCCCACACCUGCCCAACACCCACCCAUCCUCUCUUCUUUUGGAACUUGGCUCGGAGGACAGGCCCUAAUUUUUGUGUUUUACAGCAGUGAGCACACUCACUCACGCUCCCCCAUCCCUUUUCCUGGAUUCAUGUUUUGUGCAACUGCUGCAGUGGCUGUCUGAACAGGUUUGAGGGAUGGUGGGGUGGGGUUAGGGUCGGGGGAGAGGGGCGGCAAGUCUGGGUCCUUCUCCGCAGCUCUCCUCCAGCGUCUUCCAGCGUCUGGUCGUCUUCUUAUUCCAGCGGGUCUCAGCCCCCUCUAAAACCCAUACAUAUUAAUGGGACUGAUAAACACAUGGCGCAGACGCAGUGGAGCAGUCCACUGCCACCACGGGCUGGGGAGCUCUGUGCCUCUCUGUUUGUAUUUUUCCCCAUUUGUAUUUCAUUCCCACCAUCAUUCCUUCCUGUCCUCUGCCGCACUCUCCAGCUCUUGUUUCUAGUGGAUUCUCAGUUCCUGUUCACAUUUUCCAGUCUGCAGAGAUGGUAAGGGUACUGAGGUGUGAGGCUUAAGUUAAAUCACAGAUACCGUCAUUAGAAAGUCACUUGUAAAUCGAAAGUCUUCAUUUCCCAAACACUUCAUGGAGUUCAAGUUCAAGAUCUUAAGUCUGCCUCUUUUUGUGCACUUACUUAUCAAGGGAAAUGCUGUUAAGUAGAUGGUUGAUUAAUUUUGUUUUUGAUGAUUGCUAGUAUAUCUUAUAAUUUAAGUUUUUAAAGCUGUUAAAAAAGAAACACUGCAUAUGAAGGUUAUACCAAGUUAACUUAGUCCAUAUGGCAUACAGGUUGAUGUAUCAGUAAACAAAAACUGAAAACUCGCUAACACUCCAGUGACUCAGUCACAGACGUCUGUGUCCGGCCUCUAGACUACUGAGGGGGACAAGGCCUAACUUUUUUUUUUCUGAAACCCAAAACAUGAAAGUCAGCAUCAAGCUGUGUUGUAAAAAAAGGCACUAGCUGCAUUCUUUGUUGUCUGAAAUGUAACAAUGUUUU